GGUUUCCGUAGGUGAACCUGCGGAAGGAUCAUUAUCGUAAAACCGAGGUGCGAGGGCUGUCGCUGACCUUUUCGGUCGUGCACGCCCGAGUGCUCUCACACAAUCCAUCUCACCCCUUGUGCACCACCGCGUGGGUCCCUCUCUGGCUCGUCCGGAGGGGGGCUCGCGUUUUCACACAAACUUGAAGUAGUGUAGAAUGUCCUUUUUUGCGAUAACACGCAAUCAAUACAACUUUCAACAACGGAUCUCUUGGCUCUCGCAUCGAUGAAGAACGCAGCGAAAUGCGAUACGUAAUGUGAAUUGCAGAAUUCAGUGAAUCAUCGAAUCUUUGAACGCACCUUGCGCCCCUUGGCAUUCCGAGGGGCACACCCGUUUGAGUGUCGUGAAAUUCUCAAAACCCUUUCUUUUGGUCAUUUUUGACCAUGGAAAGGAUUUUGGACUUGGAGGCCUUUUUGCUGGUUUCAACCUUGAAGCGAGCUCCUCCCAAAUGUAUUAGUGGGGUCUGCAUUGUCGGUCCUUGGCGUGAUAAGUUGUUUCUACGUCUUGGAUUUUUGGCGCUGUACACCUGCUUCUAACCGUCUCAUUGACAACGAUGGUGUUCCGGUCGCCGCCGAUUUUUCGGUGGGAGGCUUGACCCACGAAACAAACCUUGACCUCAAAUCGGGUGAGACUACCCGCUGAACUUAAGCAUAUCAAUAAGCGGAGGAAAAGAAACUAACAAGGAUUCCCCUAGUAACUGCGAGUGAAGCGGGAAAAGCUCAAAUUUAAAAUCUGGUGGCCUUUGGUCAUC
RNAcentral lists this ribosomal RNA (790 nucleotides) under uncultured Russula. RNAcentral describes it as "eukaryotic LSU rRNA". The stretch from base 230 to 383 matches the Rfam family "5.8S ribosomal RNA". Lineage: Eukaryota; Fungi; Basidiomycota; Agaricomycetes; Russulales; Russulaceae. The record is from RNAcentral.